RNAcentral lists this long non-coding RNA (17087 nucleotides) under Coffea arabica (coffee). RNAcentral's name for it is "long non-coding RNA (CARA_LNC001099)". Lineage: Eukaryota; Viridiplantae; Streptophyta; Magnoliopsida; Gentianales; Rubiaceae. The record is from RNAcentral.
AUGGGAAGCUAUUGUUUUAGUUAGAGAUCUGUCUUUCUGGCUAUUUGCCCAUAAAUUUGCCCUUAAUUAAUGAUUAUUCAUAGCUCAUUUUUAAUGACUGAAUUACCACCUCUUCUGUAAGCUUAAGCUGUUAGACAGAAGUGUGACUUUUUGGACUUUAGCACUCUAUCUAAUAUUCUACGUUUUGAAGCAGAAUUUGAAUAAUUAUAAUUAUAAUAAGGGGAUGUUAGCUUUGAUUUGCAAAUAAUAUGAAGAUGAUAUUAAUACUGUUUGAUCAUAUGACAAGUUUAAUCUUUUGAGAUGUUGCAAUUUUGUUUGUGAUUGAAAUAGACAGUUUCUUGACUACUAAUGCUGAAAUGGGUCUAAAAUUUUCAUCUUGGUUUUCUUAAUUAAGUAUUUUCUUACUGGUACACUACAUAUGACUGCAAGACAUUUCAUGGGAAGGGGGCCACAACUUCAAGUGAAUAUAGCCAGAGACUGCUGGUAUAUUAUUGGUAGCUGUUAUUGUUGCUUGUAGCAAAAUAUCCUUUCACUUUGGCAGAAGCAUGCUUCUUAUGUUCAUGUAUCAGAAUCAGUUUGUGGGAUCUCCAAGCGCCGGAAAGCCAUGUAAAUCGAGGUUAUAGUAUUUAAUGUUGAUCAUGGUGCUCUUCUGGGUUAUAGCAAUCAAUGAAUGCAAUGUGCUUAGUUUUGUAUAUGGGUAGGCUUCUGCGGAACUUAAGAGAGGAAGCAUAAACAUUAGAAUUGAGGAUGAAACCUAAAAGAAGAACUUUAAAGGAUCUUGGAUGUGAAUUUUUAAAUUGAUUAGUUUGAAAGGCAGAAUCUGUCUUCUGUAAAUUGUCCUUAUUCCAGCUUAGAAAAUGCUCAUGUUCUUAAUGUGUUAAAGCCAAAUUAUGUGGGAACCACAAAAGGCUUUGAUUAAACAGUGUCCAAAAACUGGGGAUGAAAGUGCAUCAAAAUGGAUGGCCUGCAAUAACUAGUACUUAAGAGGAGAAGGUUUAGUGAAAAAGAAGUCAUGCAUUUUGUGCUUUGAGCUCUUACCAAAUUAAGCAGUAAAAGGAAGAAGACUACACAACAGGAUAGAGAAAAUGUAGUAUUUUUACCUGGGAAGGGAAAGGAAAUCAGAAAAUGACAAUUUAAACUCUGGUAAUUUGACUCCACUGCACAUAAUUGAAUGCUCAUAUGGGUUUUCAAAGACUCAAAGUCUACCAAAAUAUAAUGAAACUAUUAAUAGAGAGACUACGAGUCCUGAAAAGAUAAACCAGUAUCCAACCAUCAGAACCAACACAAUAAAAUAAUCUGAUCAAGACCCUUGAAUAGCUUACUCCUAAUUCAUGGACAGUAAUCUUGGAAAUAGGGAGUACAUAAAAGACUCAAAGGAGACAGUUUCAGUCUAAACAUGAGAAAACUCAAACUGAAGCAUCUUGCAUGUACACCUGUGCCUUCCCCUUGCAUGUGCAUCCUGCAUCCAAGCAAAUUUGUUUGGGAUUAUUUUUCUAAUCGUGGUAUAUGGAACACUUCAAAACUGAUAAUCAUAUGAGUAAUAGCAUAAGGGGCCAUAUAUAUUUACAGAUUAGCAAUUCAUGGUUUUGCAAGCAUUUCAGAAGGAUAUAGUACUUGAAAGAACAAAAAUUGAAGUAUGUGAUUUGCCUACUUGCAACUAUUACAAGACUUUGUUAUUCUGAAUCACUUUUUCUUAAUUUAAUUUAACAAGGAAAUUUAGUCUUUGUCAUUUCUGUGCCUCAAAAUGCUGCCAAAUGGAAUAUGCAUUCCAUCAAUGUUCCUUGCCAGAGUAUCAAGAACUUUAAUGAACGGUUUAAUGUUAUCAUUUGGCUUUCUUCUUUUAUUUUGGAGUGGAGAAGGGUAACUUUUAUGCAUCUUUAUAUGCACGCCAUACUAUUAGUACAGCUAUGGUAUGCAUAUCGAAAUUGACUUUAUCCCUUAAUCAUUGUAUUGGUCAUUUGCACACUAAAAAUGGCUAUUUGGGCUUUUUCUCGAUGGCUUCUGCUUCUUCCCUAGUUGAUUAUGGAAAAGUGAUUCUUGGGAAAUUUGUUGAAAGAAAUUGAAAUCAUGCUUUUGUUGUUAAAGUUUGUCAAAGUCAGUUAGCUGUUUCAAUCGAAAACUCCUAAAGGCAUUUAUAAUCUUUUAUUUCUCUUAUAUAUGUUUUAAAUUUUCCUUAUUUUACGUAUGCUUUUGAUGAAAAAUUAUGCUGAAAUUUUGUAAUUUAGUCUUUUACCUUAUGGCUACCUAUGCAGAUUAGGAAAGGAUGUGCUGCUUGUAUAAAAAAUUCUUGUUAGUUUUGCAAAUUUAUAGAUUUCAGGCUUAUGGAAUCUCAUUUUUUUGCAGCACUUGCAUGAUCAACUGCAAUCGAAGAUUAAAACUUCACAUGUAAGAUUUUUGUUUGUGAGUAGUAAUUGCAAUUUUCUUUUGUUACUGAAUGAUAAUAAGAUUAUAUGCACAAGUAUGAUCUAAAUUUAAGAUUGUACGCAAUUUUGUUGAUAAUCAUGCGAAAAUUUCAUGCUUAUUUCUGGAUCAAGGAUUUCACAUGUAGUCCUGUUGUUGAGAAAGAAAGUUUGUUUUGUGUUGUCUUCGACUUCGUACUGUGCUGAAGAAUUUGAUAUGAAUAAUAUUGUGCUAAACUUUUCUACACUUGUUUCUCAUCCUAAAACCAGUACUCUGGUAGUGAAAAUUUAUAUAAACUGUUAGGGAAACAUAGGUGUAUUUUGUCCUAUCUUGCUGUUGAUACAUGUGUUCCUUAGCGGCUUCACCCAACAUGCUUUGUAUGAUUUCUAUUCUCUCCUUUCCUGGUGGAGAUACUCUGUUUAUUUUCCUUUGCUUUGAUCUGUUGUGGGUUGUUACAGAUCCCAGUUAAGUGGGUUGAUAUGCAAAAUUAUGCACUAUAGAUGGCCUUCUUUUUCCUUCAUAAUCUAAAUUCAUCUUACAGAACGUAACUUUUCACUUGUAGUAUAAAUGAUCAACCUCAUAUAUCUCUUGGCACAGGAUAAAAUUGAAGAGCUAAAUGCAAUAGCUGGAAAUCAUACUGGCAAGGAGAACCCUAGUGCUGGCCCCAUUAUGGGUCAAUUUCCUAACAGUUCCAUGGUAAACAGAGUUCUUUUUCAUAGUUUACUCAAAGAAGUGUAAUUCUGCUUUUUCUUUCUCCCUAGGGUAAGUUAUGCACUAAUUUGGAUGUCCUUCGUUUCAAGGGCAUGGGUGGAUCUUCUCAUCAAAACCACUAUUUAGAUGGACAUCAAAUGGAGCCAGCCGAUGGUGUACCGACGUACAUACAAGAGAAUGAUCAUCAACAAACUGGAAGUUUAAUGCUUAAUCAUGGAAUAUAUGGUUCACGGAGUGCAGAUAAUCAUUCAAAACUUACAUCUGAUAAUGAUAGGCAAGUCUGGGGUUCUGCAGGCUUACUAAUUUGGUCAGAAUAUGCUAUGAAAAUCUAAUGUUGUUCUCACAUUUUGCAACAUAUCGAUUUGACUGGUUCAUGUUAUGCUUCGUUCUUUGGUUCUUUGGUUGUUUUGUUACAUGAAACCUUAAAAUUGUGACCGCCAACUUCUUUGAAGCAUUGUAAAACUGUGAAUAGUGUGCUUCUUGGAAAUAGAUGAAGUUGCCAUGAAUUUUUAUUACUUUUCAGCCAUAGUCAAUUGCACAAUCUAAUUGGGUAUUUCUCCAUCAGAAUUUUAUUGUAAGCAGUUUCUCAUUGUCAGCCAAGACUUUCAAAGAUUUUUAGUGUUUGUAAGUCUGAUUUAAUUUUACAUACUUGUGGAGGCAGAAAAAGAUUAUUACUGGAGAUAUCUCUUUCCUAGACACAAGAAUCAGUGCAACUUACAUGUUUAAUAUUUGUUGUAAUGCCUUCAGUAUAGACCGCUGCAUUAAUGUAAACAUUCUGGCUUUCUUAUUAUUUGCAUUGUCAAUGUCUGAACCUAAAAAGUUAGACUUCUGUGUGCUGCAUCAGCCCCAAAGGAGUACAUCAUCAGAUGCUUGGUUUCCAAGAUAGAUUGAUAAAGUAUGCCUACAAUAUGAGCAGAAAUUUUGCUGCUUUGAACAUCAAGAAGCUGAGUUAUUUACCUUGCAGAUGUAGCUUUUUAAUUAGAUUAAUUUUACUCUUGUUGAUUGAUUGAUUUAUAUUUCCCAUAAGCCAUGUGUUGAAAUAGAUAUCUUUUCAUGAUUAGACAUAUUGUAGAUAUGACCUCCCUGUAUACAUAUUUUUGUCUGCAUGUGCAAAAGAGGAAGAAGACAUUUUAUAGAUAAGCCAUUAGAUGUCUGGUAGAUAAGCUUUGACUUCCCCAUGCAUAUAUUUUACCCAUUAGUGUGAAAUAGGAAGAAGACAAAUCCAUAUGGCUUUUCCCGAGCUAGUGCAUUCUAGUGUGCAACAAAUUAUUGUUGCUCUGUUGCAUUGUGAUUAGAAACUGUAGAAUUAAAUAGCUAGUUUGAUUAUUGACAAUUUUCAACUUGUAAGUCUGCCCGAUUUAGUUGAUUCUUAUAGUAUUAUUUAAAGGUUUAAAGAACCUGAGAACUGGUUCAGGCUGAACUUUUUGUAUCAGGUUUUUGUUUUCAACCAGCUUGUCAUUCUUAUAUUAUCUGGUGGUCCUUUUUUUUUUGGCAUUUCCUACUGGAUAAAUGCUUCUUCCUAACAGACACAUUUGCAGGGGUGUUGUAGGUUCUGAGGUAGACAAUAUAUUUGACAGAAGUGGCAUAAAUAUGAGACCAGAUGAAAAUGAUCAGUUUUACCACUCUCCUAGAGUUGGUUCUUUAACUUCAGAAGGUAAUACAUGUUUUAGUCUGUAUUCUUAAUGAUGGAUUUCCUACAAAAUCUAAUUUUGUUUUUGGCACUAGGAGAGGGUCCUGGAAUAGAAGGCUUUCAAAUUAUUGGAGAUGCUAAACCUGGAGGAAAGCUUUUAGGCUGUGGAUAUCCUGUUCGUGGAACUUCUCUCUGUAUGUUUCAGGUAAAUAUCAUUCAAGGUUACUUCAGAAGAUAACAACUUUUUUAUUUUGUUGAUAUAAUGUUAUUAUUUUUUAAUUUCUUAUUUAAUCAUUUCUCUUUGCACCAGUGGGUUCGUCAUUAUCCAGAUGGAACUAGGCAGUACAUCGAGGGUAAUCGUCAUUUAUCAAUUAGGCCUUCUCUCGCAUAUUAAUUUUUCUCAAAAAAAGAAAUUGCAAUUAAUUAUAAUCUAUAGUUUUAUUCUGCACUCCUCGUAUAUUCACAUAUCAACAAUAGAAGUGUUCCUUAGAUAUGUCAUAUUUUUCUAAUCAGGAGCCACCAACCCAGAAUAUGUAGUUACAGCUGAUGACAUCGAUAAAGUUAUAGCUGUAGAGUGCAUACCAAUGGAUGAUCAUGGACGCCAGGUUAUGCUUGACCUUUGUUUUUUUUUUUUUAUAUAUAUAUGUUUAUGAAGUUAUUUUCCUUUGUUGUUUUAGAGUGUUUAAACUGCGGGUAAUAAGUUCUAACUGCAUGUUUUGCUUUCGAGUGGUCUCAGACAUACCAAUACAUCCAUAUAUUUCUGGUACAAAAUCUUCAAUUAUUCAAGCUUGACCUUCUUAGAAAUGUUUCUUACCUUGUGUCCAAGUACCUGCACUGAUUUGCUGUUGGAGAAAACUUAAUGAUCAAAUUUGGGGAGAAGAGUAUUUAAAAAGAUCUUCAAGAAUUUGUUGAUUAUUUGAUAAGCAAAUUAGUCAGAACUUGUUCAUCUAGUAAAAUUCUUUUCUGAAAUUUUAUGGGCUUAGCACUUGAAAGUUGUGGACUCGAUCUCAUAAUUUGUUGAUACACGUUUACUUGGUUAUAGUGAAGCCCAGGGAUAACACUCAGGUUCAGGUUUAGCUUUCUGCUACUUUUACAAAGAAAAGAAAGAAAAGAUUAUAGGAAAUCUUGGGCAUGUUGGUAAUCAAUAUUCUUUGAAGGAUUUUUUUGAGAUAACUUAGAUCAUCCUUUAAAUUUGUUGUUUAUUUUUGUUUGGGUAAAUUACACUUUUCUCUCCUGUCAUUUAGCGCUUUUCACAAUACCCUCCUCUGGUUUAAAAGCUAUAUUUAACGCCUCAUUGUUUGGGCUAAAGUCUCAAAGUGAUGGAAAUUGUCCUCUGCAGUGGAACCAGCUGGAAUGUCUAGAUUACUUUCACUUAGAAACUAAAAUGAUUGAAGUGGUCAAGCUAUAAUGUAGUAUGGGUUGUCAAAAUCUAUACAUAACCCCCUCUGCGGUUAACAAAUAGUUUCUAUCUUGACAUUGGGGUACUUUUGACUUUUUUGUCAGAAGGCAAUUUCUGUCACUUUUACACUUUAGUACAAACCAUGGGGGGUUUAUGUAUAGCUUUGGAACCAUAGGAGGGUUAUGUGAAAAACUGAUAGACCCUUCUUGUGUUACUUUAGUUACACCAAAUAAAUUGAACCAAUUCAAUAAUUUGAAGAAGUUCUAGACUGUUCAACUUUCUCAUACAGCCAUGCUGUUUCUUUUUCUAAUUCUGAUCACGCCAUGAUUGCUUAGUGAAUUUGACCAUUGUUUAUUGGAAAUCUAGGUGGCUUUCAUCUCAAUUUUUUAUUAUUGUGGCACAUGCAUGAAUACUCAUCUUUAAGUGUCAGUCUGUUGUCUUCUUGACGUUUCACAAGCCAUCUUUUUUUUUUUAAAUUUUAAUCAGGGAGAUCUUGUCAGGCUAUUUGCAAAUGAUCAGAACAAAAUAACAUGUGGUAAGUUCAGUUACUUUAAUUAACAGUUGUAUGGUUGAUGCUUGAAAUAUCAAAUUGACAUGGUGGUUCGUAUUCUCAUUUUUGUGUUCUCAUGGUCCAGAAAGCUACACAGUUCUUACAGUAUUUGUUCCUAUAACUUUUUUUUGGUAUCUUUUAUCUGAUAAAACUGAACUGGAAUCCUGCCCAUCCUCUUUCUUUUAGUGGGAUUUGAUUAAGGAAUAUAGUUUUAGAACUCAAAAUUGUUCUUUUAGUUCAUUAAGCAUGUCCCUUAUAAGUCUCAUCUAAAUGAAAACCAUCAAGUAUAAGGAACCCAAGAUGCUCAAUAGUAGAGGUAAGGUUGUCAUGGCUUGUCCUUGUAAUCUCUACUCAAAGCUAAUAUACGUAUAUUGAUCCAAUCCAAACCAACCUCCAGGACACGAUGGUAGUUAUUGAUUGAAAUGUCAAUAGUGGCAGGUUAGCUAAUUUAUGAAGAAUUUAAAGGACAUUACACCAGACCCACCAUUAAGCUUGGUAUAUAGCACAAAAUGAAAUUUUUUGGCCAGAUGAUUUUAUGUUUCACUCUUUCUGACUAUGAAAAUUAAUUAUGUCAGUGAUGUAAGAACUUUAAAGAGGCUAAUACAUUCGAUGCAGGAAAUCUGUAAACAGGCUGAUACAUUUGAUGCAGGAAAGCUGCAAAAGAAUUUAAUUCAGUCUUUGAUUUGUAUUAAUCCCUAUUCUAAAUAAGGUUGAGACAAUGUACUCUGUUCUUGAAUAUAUUAAAAGCUUACUGAAAAGUAGAAGAAGCCUGUAAUCAUGUGUUCUGCUUAACCUCAAAUAAUAUAUCUCCUAACUAUGUAAAUUUAAAAAGUAAUCAACUACUGAUGUUUAUGUAAAUAAUACUUGAACACAUACAACUAGCCAAUUCCUUUGGGUAAUUGUUCUAGUUCCUGUCAACAUUCGUUGACAAAUUUGGUCUAGUUUGGGCAAUCAAGUUUGGAUCGUGUGAUAGUUUCAACCAGAAGCAACAACCUUGAAAAGAGAUAGAAAUGUCAUGUAUUAUUUGCAAGGAAUCAUGCGAAGCGCCAAAAUUGCAAUUCUUUCUCUCUCUCUAAAAUGAGAAGCUGCCUAGACCUCGUAGUUUGUAUUUUAAAAAGCCCAACUAAUUUUCAUUCUAGAGUUACCAAAAGAACUGUCAAGAGCCCUAAAUUUCUUCAGCAUGUAGAUCUUAAUGCUUUUACAAGAAGUCAAUUAAGUCAUUACCUCCAAGAGGUGUCAAUUAUUUUAAUUUGACUUGUUUAGAUGCUUGCAGAAGAAAAUUGCUUAGCAAGUGUCAAUUCGGUUUGGAACAUUUUACCUUAUUGUUUCUGAAUGUUUAUUUUCAUAUGAAGUUUUAGAAUAUCUCAUCAUGCUUUGUAGUUACCCAUGAAUGCAUAAUUACAGUUUUGCAACUACAUAUAUUAUAUUUUCCAGUUGCUUUUAGCAGUUUAACAUCAUCAAGUUUUUGGUAAGUGGACUGUGGAUAUUUGUUUGCAUAAGCAUCAGUACAGGACAUUCUUUGGUUGCCUGCUCAUUUCUCUGCAAUACUUGCUGGCAAAUGAUACCUUUGGCUUUUGCAGAUCCUGAUAUGCAACUGGAGAUAGACACCCAUAUUUCAAAUGGCCAAGCGACAUUCAAUGUUCUAAUGCUUGUAGGUUAUAUAUAAUUUGCAAAUAUCAAACUCAUAUUUAUUUACCUACUCAUACUGUUCACUUGUUAGACACCACUUAUCUAAUUUUGGAUCUAAUUUAUAGGAUUAUAGGUGCUAGUUUGUAGGUUUAUAAUUUGUACUCACCUUUUUAGAUGCAUAAACACAGAGUGAUUUGUGGAUUAUUAUCAAUAUCAGGAAAGGUUUACACCAGUAAUAAGUGAAUUAGAAAGGCCUCUAAUGGUGUAAUAGUUAUUAGUUGCUUACUCCUAAUGUACAGUCAAAUAGUGAGUGCACCAUAUCAUACUUUCCAUAUAGUAAUGUUGCAAUAGAUUUUGCAAAUGGAGUAAAAGAUUUUGAAAGGAGCAGAUAGCAUGUAGCAUCUUGAAGUUGUAAUGUUAACCAAGGCACUCUUCCCUUUAUUUGGCUCCCUUUCAAAUAUUUGUAGUCAUGUGAUUAUUACUCUUUUUGAGUUAAAAUGGACCAUCCAUUGCUGAGAGGCAUACAAUGAAAUAAUGAGAUGUCCUUCCCCACUGUUAUAUUUGUAUCUUUUCUGUGAAAUUGCUGCCUCGUCCGCCUGGUUGUCCACCUGGAAAAAAACAAGAGAUCCUACAUGCCCUCUUCGCUUUUUCUGCUUUAGAAGUAUUAUCUACAUGAGCAAUUAUUAAAUCUUUAUUUGCGGCAGAAUAAAUCACCAGCAUCAUCCCCUCAUGCAUGAUUAAUGUUGCUACAUAUAAAAUUACCAAAAGUGAUAAGAUCUGGAAAUUGUAAACCUUAAAAAGAUGAAUAAACUGAUUAUGAUUGUGUUAAAUUCUUAGGAGUUGUGAGUACUGCAGAUAAUUCUAUAUUUGUUACCCUGCCAAAAGAUAGCUAAACCUUGACUAUGUAUGUUGUUAUUAGCAACUUAAAUUAUUUUUUAUUUAGCUAUAAAGAUAUUUAGCAUUAAUCAUCCAAUUUGCAAACAGAUAGAUUCUUCCGAGAAUUGGGAACCGGCAACCAUAUUUUUGAGGCGAUCAAGUUUCCAAGUCAAGGUUCACAGAAUGCAGGAAGUGGCAAUUGCAGAGAAAUUUUCCAGAGACUUGUCGGUAAUGCUUUUUACUUUCUAACAGUUUGGACAAUCAAGAAUCUAAUACUCAUAUUGGGGAUUGUUUUUAUCUGGACCUGAAUUUCAUUUAUGGAAUGCAAAUACAUUUAAGCACUUUUUGGAAUGACAGUGUUUCACUUUUUUAAGCAAUUAUAUGUAUGCAGAGAAGUUUUAUAAAUGCAUAUUUGCCUAUGUUGAUCAUUUGAUCCAUUUGGGUUCCUAUAGAUGAUAAUUGUGUCCCAAAAGUGAGUUGAUUCCCUACUCAAUUAAGCUUCUCCCUUACUCAAGUGAUCUGUCAAAACAAUUGUGUGCUGAAGUUUAAAUUUGUCAGUAACUUUGCAUGGCCAGCUAAAAGUGGGCUUUUUAGACAAGACAAGAUUGUCGUCACUUUACAUUGGCCUCCAACAUUAACUGAUGGUGUAGUGAUACAUUAAAAUUAAAUUGUACUUGAUUGUUGUGGAGUGACUGUAUUAGUGAGAAUAAUGUACAUGACUACCAGUAUUUAUUAGUGAUACCUUGUUAUGUAUUUUGAUUUUGUGAUUAUUGGGUUUAGAUUUGGAAUAUUCUCAGGGAUAACAAACAUAUCAACAGCAUUGCUCUCUUACCUUUUGCAGGUUAAAAUUCCCAAUGGGGUCUCAUCACAGUUUGUUUUAACAUAUUCUGAUGGUUCUUCACAUUUUUUCAGCACAAACAAUGAUGUUAGGUAUGCACCAUUAUAACUUUCUAACUUGCCCUGCGUUACUCUCAUAAGUGGUAAUUAUGCAUGGUGUUGUGGGGUACAUGAAUCCUUUUUCAUAGGUUUGCACAUGGAACUUCCCAUUUAGUUUUACUAUGUAACUAAGAACUUAAAAGCUCCUCUCUAUGAUAUUCACAGGAGGACCUUAGUGGGGCCACGCUAAUGUACAUUCAGGAUUUUGGAAAAAAAAAACUUUCUAAUGAUUUUCCAUUUUCCUGGUUGAUUGUAUGUAAUUGUAUGUGUUUUAAUGUUUAUGCAUAGACGUACAAGAAAUAAUAGCAAAUAUGAUGAUGAGCAACUUCAUACAUAUCCUCUGAGUUGUGCAGCAUUAUGCCUAGAGUUCCUUCCUUCGCCCCCCCCCCCCUCUUUUUCAGAGAGUCAUCUUCCUUAAAAUGUGUGCAAUAGGUGUAACUCUUCCUUUGGCUUCCCAAUUGGGGUUGGGCCUAGUAUAGCCGUCACUUGGAGCUCGUUUCUAAACAUCAGGAUAUUUACCUAAACAGAACAACUACUGCUUAGUGAAUAAAUUAGCUCAUUUAGGGAGCUCAAAAUCAGCUUCCAAGUUACAUAGAUUGCUGAGCAAGCAAUGGGCAUGGCUACAAAAGCUUGAUGCUAUGAUCUUUGAGCCAAUUUAAUUGUAUCAUCUUGUGGGAGGUUCCAAGCUGCUAGCUCUGGAAUAAUCUUGUUUUCUCCUUGUAGAGUUACUAACAAUUCGAUAAGGAGUGCCAUUUUCGAGCUCUGUAAAUGAAUGUCUUUUGUUCUUUUUCUUUCCCUGAUUUUAUGGCUCAAUUACAAUGGAAGGAAUCACUUCUGCAUAAUUUGAUUAAAUUUUAGUGCCUUUUUUUUCACCGAAUUAAUAGUUUACUACAGCUAUACUAGAGUAACUGCACGCCUCAUGUUUUCUUGGUGUGUAUUGCAAUGUAUGAUGUGAUGCCAUUUCUUUCUGGCAGAAUGCGUGAUACACUAGCAUUGACAAUAAGAAUCUUCCAGACGAAGGUAUGCUUCUCUGCAGAUAACAUCAUUUGUACUUUUGGAAUCUAGAAGUCUCUUUUUGUUAAAGAUCCUUGGUAUUUUCUCUCUUUAAUCAAGGAUUUUUAUCUUUGUGUGAUGUAAGUGGUUUUGUAGUUCCUUAUGUUCUUGGAUAGUGAGUAAGUUUUUUGUUGUUAUGUACUCUAGACUCGGGAAGAUAUAAGCCAAUACACAAGCAAACUGAUGUAGUUCCAUUUUUAUCUUGUUAGAUGCAACAGUAAGCUGCAGGAGAAUAAAUAAUGAAAAUAUUAAGUUUUUUUAAUCUUAAAAUCCACCUAGUUCGAGAGUUUACUUGGCUACCUAUUUUAUUAAACAGUUCCAAGUUUGAAAUCCCAAUACAAAAAGUUAAAAGUCUAUAUAAAUCAAGCAAAAGUUUUCCAAAGUUUGGAGACGAAUUGAAAUCAAAAGUAUAGCAGCUUCUAUAUGCUGAGUCUGCUGACAAGAAAAAUUUUGGGAUCAAACCAGCUUCCCUGUAAAAUUGCAUCUCUCCAAAUAUGAGAACGUUGAAAACAUCAAAAACAUUGAACAGAAAACCCAAGUGAAAGUUAGGUUUUCUUUUUCUUUCAUUAUUUAGAAGGGAAGGGAUGGGAAAGGAAGUAGUGGCGAGGACAGGGGAUUCAUGGGAUUGGAGAUGAGAAAUGAAGCCUCAUACUAAGACAAGGAGCAAUAUACCUCUUAUCCGCUGGAAUGCUUGAAUAUAAAUCAGUUGAUUCAAGGAAUAUUGUUUAUUUUAGAUGUCUACUCAUGAGAUCAGGAGGCAAGUUAGUCAAUCUGCCUUUCCUUUCUUCCUCAUUGUCUUCUUUCCUCUAUUUGGCUAUAAUUGAAAACAAAAUUUGUCAUGUUAACAUCACUAGCAUUUUAAACACCUGGAAAGGGAAUACUUAUAAAAUUGGACAGAUUUGUUCAACGUAAAGUUACAGGGCAUCCCAUGCAAUCAAAGUUUAGUACAUAUGCAAAAUGUUCCCUCAGGCUCAACACAAUAUUGCCAGUGUCCUAGAUCCCUUUAAACUCUACUGUCAACAGAUUCUAAAAGGUUAGUAGCACCAAGUUGAAUAUGCAGCUAAAUUUCAUCAUUCAUUGGCCUUGUGCCAAAAUGAAUACUGAUGUGGCCCUAGACAUAUGAAAUCGGCUGUUGAAGCAGUAACAAAUGUAUCGAUUAUGCAGCCCAUAUUGACAUUUAUUGGCAUUGUGUCAAUGUCAAACCUAAACUGAUUAUCUGUAGGACAUAGCAUGCAUACUUGCUUGGCAUAUUGCUAAGCUUUUCUGCCAUUGUCGUGCUCAGAAACAAAUGUGGAUCAUUGAGAUCUUACUAUAUGUGUUUGAUGGUAUAAAAUAGCCUGGACUUAUUUCUUUCUUCUUCUAGAUUCCAAAUCACAACUGUCUUCAAAGUGGUUACAAUUUAUCUAUGCCACACUUCCAACAAGACUUUCCAUUAUUGAAAAUUCUAAAAAGUUUUGUGCUUGUUCAAAUUGGUAGAAUGAAUUGUGCAACUGCUCCUUGUAGAAUUUCUACAUAGAGCUCCAGUUUCAAACCUGACUAGUCACUCUUACCAAGUGGGAUCCUAUUACAAGUAGCUUUAGUUAGUUUCCCAAAAUUCCAAGGUCCAUGCUCAAAGAAAGUAUGUCAUAUAGGACAUGAAGCCAAAGGCUGCAACCGGUAUACAUGUUUGACAUGUUCUGCAGUGUCCAUUAGAUAUAAGUUCAACAUUACUAAGUCUUUUAACAAGUCUUUCUGAUGUGUACAAGUUUUGGUGAUAUGAAGCAAAAUUGUGGUCAAUUGAAAGCUCAACCACAAAACCAUUGGGUUUGUUGAUUUUCUAUAAUUCAUGGAACGUGGGACAUUAUGCAUGUCUUUGGUGAUUAGAUUGUAAAAUUUCUUUUGAUGGGUUUCAUAAGGCUACAAUUGACACCAAUAGUUUGUAAUAGCUUUUAUGACUAGUGUUUUGACUAUGGGGAAAAAGAGACUGUGUCUGAUAUGAUAAUAAUUUGAUGCAUUUUAAACUACAUUUGCUUGUUUGAAGCAUUGUUGCAUUGAAGUUCAGUGUACUCCUAAAGGUUUUCAUGUCCAUAUGCAUCGAAUUAGUUCACUUAGUGAACAUCAUGCAGGUGAAGUUCACAAAUUUAUAUAGGAUAUCAAGGCUUCAACAUGAAAUAGUAACCUCUCAACAUGCCUUUUUAAUGUUCCAACUCCAAAACCAUAUUAGAAAUCCCAAUAACUAGAUGAAAAUGAUUCUCCAUGGGAGCUAGUUUAUUCUCAAUCUAUGUCAGGGGAAUGUCUUAAUUUGGUUAAUUACAAAAUUAUUGAGCAAAUAGUGGGACUCUUUAAGGCUGCACUCUAAACAUAUUUGCUAUUUGUUGCUUAGAACCUUGUCAAUUACCAUAAUAACGCUUCUCCUAUCUUUGCUCUCGACCUUUACCUUACAAGUAAUGAGCAGAUGGAUCUUCUGAUGACAUAGUGCAUAGGCACAUGAAAUUCUUAUCCUUGGUGGGGAAAAAUGGUAGGAUACGGAGGAGUUUCUCUCACUUUUGAGUGUCGUUAGUCCAAUUGCCACUGAGUUUGCCUCUCAUUUCCUGUAUAGCAUCUAUUUCUCUUUUCCUGUGUAGCAUUUGGAACGUUUGCACUAUCUAAUACCAAUGAAAUAGGGAAGUUAUAUCAUUCAUGUUAAGUCUUUAGACAUUUAAGUUUUGAAAUAUAAGUUGGGGAGUUAUCAUUUUUAUUGGAAUCCAUAGAUGGUCAAAAUGCUUAGUGUCAAAAUACUUAGCUUUAUGUUUAUUUUGCAUUUCAUAUUUUGUUCGUGCCUUCGAUUAAUAUAUACUCUUCCUUCUUGAAUUUGUGGAUUGGGCUUAAAAGUUUUCUUCUCUACUUUUGUGAGGUAUGGGAACUUUUGUUUGGAAUUUGCUCUUAAGUCUUUGGAUAUGUUUGAGAUUUAUUUAUUUUUAUUCUUUCAAGCAGGCGAUGGACGAAAAGAGGAAGGGGAAGAGCAUGAAUUCUUCAUAGGAGUACAGUUUUUGUAGCUAUAUAGUAUUCUUUUAGAAAAUAGAAAAUGUGAAAAUAACGAGAUGCACAUAUUCUUGUAUACUAGUUUUUAGUAAGUUAAUAAAAUUAUAUUUUGUUUUCCACUUUCCUGUUGUAAAGAGUAUAACUUUUGGUCUUUAAAUUGUUAAUUGCAUAUUUGAGUUCCCAUCAGUUUUAUAUUCCAUGCCCUCUCUCACUCCCCCCCCCCCACCCCCAAAAAAAAACCCGCUCUUCAUAUAUAAUAUGUACAUACAUGUAGGCAUGUAAGUGUGUAUGUGACAUUCAAAAUAGUUGGAAUGGAAAUUGGCACCAUGUUAAAGAAUUUAACCUGAAUCAUGUACUGAUUCAGGGAUUUUACUGUCUUUUGGACUGCUGCUAGUUUUGGAAUACCAGGUUUUCUUUUUCUGGACAAGUAUAGUGUAUCCUUGAAGUGAAAAGUUCUAGUUACGGUAACCUCACUUGCAUUCUUUUAAAUAGGUAGUACAGCACAAGGGUCUGGGAUGUCAAUCUCUUCUCUAUAGAUGCUUGCUCCAGUGAAAUAGAUAGUACUAAAGACAUAGCUCAAAUUAUUUUAACAGCACUGAGCUGCGUAUGGUCUGGUGAUUCAACAAGUAUUAUUCAUCCCACUGCAUACUCUGUGGAAGUGCUGGUUCAGUCCAGUACGUGUUGUCGUCAUUUUGUUGGAUCAUCAUUGAAAUAAGCUAUGAAAGCUGUUCGUCCUUAUUUUGAACUUCUACUAGCUUCUUGAGAAGUUGAAGUUGAGUAGAGUAUUAAACUGGCUCACAAUAGAGAUGUAUUCUCACUUUAGCGCUCAAGCUUAAUGGCCUGUUAGGAAUUUCAUAGCUGGAGAACAAAGGAAAUUGAGCGAUAGGAGAAAAGCAAUGCAGGAAUUUCUUUUGAUUGUGGCUAUUUUGUUUCACAGCACAGUUAAAAGCAAAUCAUGCUUCUCAUCCAUUGCAUUGUAUUUAAUACCAUGUAGGAAGCAAGUUAUGCUUUUCUCUAUUUGUUUAAGAAUCUUUACCACCAGUCUUUGAUUUUAUUGGGAAUAUCUCUACCUGUCAUACAGGAAAGGCUCUGCCAUGUAAAGAAUAUUAUUUUGUAUGACAAAAGUAUGCUAAAGGGACAACAACUAAUUUGAGCCUGUGCAUUUAUAUAGCUUAUUAGACAAGGACAAUCAUCUGGGAAACAAAAGAUUUGCCUUUUGCUUGUUUUUAGUUACAGCAAGCAUUGAAUGUAGAAAAGAGGGAGCAUAACUGUAAGAUAGCUGUUCACUUCUUACCUCUGAUUGAUAGUUCUGAAUCUGGGACAGAAAAGUAUUUGAUUCCAUUGACGUAAUGCUUUUAUGAUCUUGUUUUUCUUGACUUCUCUGCAUAAUGGAAUUGACUCUGUAUUAUUAUGUGAUAUGGUUCUUAUAUGAGAAUUCUAAGUUGACCCUUUGGGGGGUGGGGGUGGGGGUGGGGGAAUAGUCUUGCCAAGUAUUGUUCUUAUUACAGCCUCCUAGGAAUGGCAAUGGUCCCUGCCCCAUUAGCCCUCCGCGGGCACCCGCCCUAAUUGCCAUCCCUACAGCCUCUGGAUGAGCAUACUGUCUGGACAUUUCAUGUGAACAUUUGUCAUCCUUAAUGGCUCUAUAACUGAUCGAAAAUUUUGUUCCUAUCUCGUAUCGUUUGCUCAACUUCAAGUGUUAAAGUAGUUGAGUUGAAUGUUGGUUGUCUGUCAUGAGUGGUUGUUGAAUCUGAGGAAAGAGAAUCAAGAUUCUAGAUUGGUGAAUUUGUUGCUUGCUGAUAUUGAUAUGGUACUGUAUUACUUUCAUUCUGCUAUUAUCUGAUAUUUGCAUAGAUUGUUGAUCGUGUUUACAGUUUAUUUGUAGUUAUAUUAAUAUUUAGCCUGUGAAUUAUGCUUGUAACAUAUACAUUGUUUUGCAUUUAUCAUAAUGACCAUGACCCUUCAUAUUCCAAAUACUUUCACAAGAUUUGGGCACUUACACAUUGACAACUCUUGCUACAUAACCUGGCAUGGUGCAGCCACUGCCUAGUUCCAUGUGAUUUUGUUGUUAGAAUGGGGAAUUUUCCACAUGACUACCCAACGGAAGGGGUUAGGUGUAGCAGCACAGGGUGGCCUAAUUCAACCAUCUUAUCAGCAAUUUUUGGACCCGUUUUCAUAUAAACUAUCUUAGGGUAGGUGAAAACAAGGGUAGGAUAAGUGAUAACUAAUUGGAAGAAAAAUCAAUCACCUCACAAGUGUUAUGGGAUGGUGUAAUCUGAACUGAAGAGGUUUGGUAGAUAAAUAUUGAUCUUGAACCCUAGUAAAAGCCUUUAGGACCUAUAGUUCCUCUUAGUUCAUCUCUCCACCAUUUGAAUGAUUUUAAUUGUGGAAGGAAAAAGUUCUGUAUUGUUGCGUUUCAAUCACAAGCGAUGCAGACAACUCCUAGCAGAGUUGCAGCUUGCAAUGACAGCCGAGUAUGGAGGAUAAUCCUAAACAGGAAUGGCGAAAUAAAGCAUUUUCCUUCAGUUUCAGGAUCUUUACAGGCCAAAUGCUAAAUACAGAACGUAUCAAGGAUUUCAAGAACCAAUUCCUACACAAGAUUUGAUUCAGGUGUCAUCUACACAUCCCAAAUUAGACCAGAAAGAACUACUAACAUAUUGAACUAGAAUUAGGAUUGUAAGUGAAUUUGGUUCAUUACCUCCAAGUUCCAACCUCUGAAGUCCACGUGUGGCAGUGCAUGAUUGUCUGAUAAAAGGGUAACUUUUUGUAUGGUAGAAGCUUCUGCUUCUUUUAAUUAGAAUUGUUUUUCUGAACUUUGAGACGGUGCAACAAACAGAAUAAGAAAAAGAAAACCAUGUUUUCAAGAAUAUUAUAGUGGAUGGAGUAUCAUAUUCCUUUCCUUAACU